Molecule: transfer RNA, 78 nt
Filed under: Thermococci archaeon
Lineage: Archaea; Methanobacteriati; Methanobacteriota; Thermococci
Description: tRNA-Asp
Rfam family: tRNA
About the family: Transfer RNA (tRNA) molecules are approximately 80 nucleotides in length. Their secondary structure includes four short double-helical elements and three loops (D, anti-codon, and T loops).
Source: RNAcentral
GCCCGGGUGGUGCAGCCAGGCCCAGCAUGCGGCACUGUCACUCCCGCGACUCGGGUUCAAAUCCCGACCCGGGCGCCA